GCGAACCGGGGGAACUGAAACAUCUAAGUACCCCGAGGAAAAGAAAUCAACCGAGAUUCCCCCAGUAGCGGCGAGCGAACGGGGAGGAGCCCAGAGCCUGAAUCAGCAUGUGUGUUAGUGGAAGCGUCUGGAAAGUCGCGCGAUACAGGGUGACAGCCCCGUACACAAAAGCGCAUGUGCUGUGAGCUCGAUGAGUAGGGCGGGACACGUGGUAUCCUGUCUGAAUAUGGGGGGACCAUCCUCCAAGGCUAAAUACUCCUGACUGACCGAUAGUGAACCAGUACCGUGAGGGAAAGGCGAAAAGAACCCCGGCGAGGGGAGUGAAACAGAACCUGAAACCGUGUACGUACAAGCAGUGGGAGCACAGGUUUACCUGUGUGACUGCGUACCUUUUGUAUAAUGGGUCAGCGACUUAUAUUCUGUAGCAAGGUUAACCGAAUAGGGGAGCCGGAGGGAAACCGAGUCUUAAUUGGGCGUUAAGUUGCAGGGUAUAGACCCGAAACCCGGUGAUCUAGCCAUGGGCAGGUUGAAGGUUGGGUAACACUAACUGGAGGACCGAACCGACUAAUGUUGAAAAAUUAGCGGAUGACCUGUGGCUGGGGGUGAAAGGCCAAUCAAACCGGGAGAUAGCUGGUUCUCCCCGAAAGCUAUUUAGGUAGCGCCUCGUGAAUUCAUCUCCGGGGGUAGAGCACUGUUUCGGCUAGGGGGCCAUCCCGGCUUACCAACCCGAUGCAAACUGCGAAUACCGGAGAAUGUUAUCACGGGAGACACACGGCGGGUGCUAACGUCCGUCGUGAAGAGGGAAACAACCCAGACCGCCAGCUAAGGUCCCAAAGUCAUGGUUAAGUGGGAAACGAUGUGGGAAGGCCCAGACAGCCAGGAUGUUGGCUUAGAAGCAGCCAUCAUUUAAAGAAAGCGUAAUAGCUCACUGGUCGAGUCGGCCUGCGCGGAAGAUGUAACGGGGCUAAACCAUGCACCGAAGCUGCGGCAGCGACGUUUAUGCGUUGUUGGGUAGGGGAGCGUUCUGUAAGCCUGCGAAGGUGGCCUGUGAGGGUUGCUGGAGGUAUCAGAAGUGCGAAUGCUGACAUAAGUAACGAUAAAGCGGGUGAAAAGCCCGCUCGCCGGAAGACCAAGGGUUCCUGUCCAACGUUAAUCGGGGCAGGGUGAGUCGACCCCUAAGGCGAGGCCGAAAGGCGUAGUCGAUGGGAAACGGGUUAAUAUUCCCGUACUUGGUGUUACUGCGAAGGGGGGACGGAGAAGGCUAUGUUGGCCGGGCGACGGUUGUCCCGGUUUAAGCGUGUAGGUGUGUGUUCCAGGUAAAUCCGGUUCACUUUAACACUGAGGCGUGAUGACGCUGUUUAUUAAAAACACAGCACUGUGCAAACACGAAAGUGGACGUAUACGGUGUGACGCCUGCCCGGUGCCGGAAGGUUAAUUGAUGGGGUCAGCGCAAGCGAAGCUCCUGAUCGAAGCCCCGGUAAACGGCGGCCGUAACUAUAACGGUCCUAAGGUAGCGAAAUUCCUUGUCGGGUAAGUUCCGACCUGCACGAAUGGCGUAAUGAUGGCCAGGCUGUCUCCACCCGAGACUCAGUGAAAUUGAACUCGCUGUGAAGAUGCAGUGUACCCGCGGCAAGACGGAAAGACCCCGUGAACCUUUACUAUAGCUUGACACUGAACAUUGAGCCUUGAUGUGUAGGAUAGGUGGGAGGCUUUGAAGCGUGGACGCCAGUCUGCGUGGAGCCGACCUUGAAAUACCACCCUUUAAUGUUUGAUGUUCUAACGUGGACCCGUAAUCCGGGUUGCGGACAGUGUCUGGUGGGUAGUUUGACUGGGGCGGUCUCCUCCUAAAGAGUAACGGAGGAGCACGAAGGUUGGCUAAUCCUGGUCGGACAUCAGGAGGUUAGUGCAAUGGCAUAAGCCAGCUUGACUGCGAGCGUGACGGCGCGAGCAGGUGCGAAAGCAGGUCAUAGUGAUCCGGUGGUUCUGAAUGGAAGGGCCAUCGCUCAACGGAUAAAAGGUACUCCGGGGAUAACAGGCUGAUACCGCCCAAGAGUUCAUAUCGACGGCGGUGUUUGGCACCUCGAUGUCGGCUCAUCACAUCCUGGGGCUGAAGUAGGUCCCAAGGGUAUGGCUGUUCGCCAUUUAAAGUGGUACGCGAGCUGGGUUUAGAACGUCGUGAGACAGUUCGGUCCCUAUCUGCCGUGGGCGCUGGAGAACUGAGGGGGGCUGCUCCUAGUACGAGAGGACCGGAGUGGACGCAUCACUGGUGUUCGGGUUGUCAUGCCAAUGGCACUGCCCGGUAGCUAAAUGCGGAAGAGAUAAGUGCUGAAAGCAUCUAAGCACGAAACUUGCCCCGAGAUGAGUUCUCCCUGAGACUU
Molecule: ribosomal RNA, 2378 nt
Filed under: Salmonella enterica subsp. enterica serovar Paratyphi B
Lineage: Bacteria; Pseudomonadati; Pseudomonadota; Gammaproteobacteria; Enterobacterales; Enterobacteriaceae
Description: bacterial LSU rRNA
Rfam family: Bacterial large subunit ribosomal RNA
Source: RNAcentral